CCCGUUAUUGAGACUACAGCUCAUUG
This 26-nucleotide transfer RNA is filed under the name Uroplatus henkeli. Its description in RNAcentral is "tRNA-Tyr". Lineage: Eukaryota; Metazoa; Chordata; Lepidosauria; Squamata; Gekkonidae. The record is from RNAcentral.